RNAcentral lists this long non-coding RNA (478 nucleotides) under Brachypodium distachyon (stiff brome). RNAcentral's name for it is "long non-coding RNA (BDIS_LNC001869)". The record is from RNAcentral. Lineage: Eukaryota; Viridiplantae; Streptophyta; Magnoliopsida; Poales; Poaceae.
UACGUAGAUUUAAAGUUAGUUUUGUUUCGGGAGGCUAGUGUUUAAUGUAGUGAUCAUUGAUACCGUGUGUUCAAUUUUAAAUUGGACCUUCUAAUGGUUCUGCAAAAUUGUUAUAAAAUCUGUCUGAAGCAAUAGCUAUUUCGAGAGAGGCUCCCCGUCCAAACAGUAACUUUUGUAUAGAAGAACUUGGAAAUAGUAUUAAACAAUUUUGUGACAGCUCAUAUGUUUUAUGUUCAUGUCUGCUACUAUGUUCUGGUAAGUUUUCACGGGAAAGAAAGUAUUUUCUGCCCUGGACAACAAAAGAAUUUUUUUGAGAUAUAUAUUUUCUAGAAAUGCCAAAAUUUGAGCACUAAUUAAAAUUCCUUGUUUAGACCAUCUUCCAAAAACCCCACAAACAUGCAAGGCAAAAAAAAAAUCAGGCGAAAACAUUGGAGGUGUAAUGUUCAGAAAUUUAAAAAAAUAUUCCACAAAAUAUUGG